AACGAACGCUGGCGGCGUGGUUGAUACAUGCAAGUCGAACGGGAAAGAAGUCUUCGGACUUCGAGUACAGUGGCGGACGGGUGAGUAACGUAUGAUCAAUCUGCCCUCAAGAUUAGGAUAGCCAUUCGAAAGGAUGGGUAAUACUGAAUAAGCCCACGGUCAGGCAUCUGACUGGGGGAAAAGGAUUGGGAUCUUCGGACCUUUCGCUUGAGGAUGAGAUCAUAACCUAUCAGUUAGUUGGCGGGGUAACGGCCCACCAAGACGACGACGGGUAGCCGGCCUGAGAGGGUGGACGGCCACACUGGAACUGAGACACGGUCCAGACUCCUACGGGAGGCAGCAGUGCUGAAUUAUUCGCCAAUGCGCGAAAGCGUGACGGUGCGACGCCGCGUGCGGGACGAAGGCCUUCGGGUUGUAAACCGCUGUCAGGGAUUAGAAAACCUACAUAGUUAAUAGCUGUGUAGCUGAUCAGUCCCAAAGGAAGCACAGGCUAAUCUCGUGCCAGCCGCCGCAGUAACAC
Molecule: ribosomal RNA, 520 nt
Filed under: uncultured bacterium
Lineage: Bacteria
Description: bacterial SSU rRNA
Rfam family: Bacterial small subunit ribosomal RNA
Source: RNAcentral